RNAcentral lists this ribosomal RNA (238 nucleotides) under uncultured bacterium. RNAcentral describes it as "partial 16S ribosomal RNA". It matches the Rfam family "Bacterial small subunit ribosomal RNA", at positions 96 to 334 of the family's 1533-position model. The record is from RNAcentral.
CGGCGGACGGGUGAGUAACGCGUGGGUAACCUGCCUCAUACAGGGGGAUAACAGUUAGAGAUGACUGCUAAUACCGCAUAAGACCACGGUACCGCAUGGUACAGUGGUAAAAACUCCGGUGGUAUGAGAUGGACCCGCGUCUGAUUAGGUAGUUGGUGGGGUAACGGCCUACCAAGCCGACGAUCAGUAGCCGACCUGAGAGGGUGACCGGCCACAUUGGGACUGAGACACGGCCCAA